This 204-nucleotide non-coding RNA is filed under the name Rhodovastum atsumiense. The record is from RNAcentral. Lineage: Bacteria; Pseudomonadati; Pseudomonadota; Alphaproteobacteria; Acetobacterales; Acetobacteraceae.
AACGUUUGCCCAGAUGCCGGUGCCCGAGAGGGCUGAACGGGAACGUGGAAGCGGCCGACACAACCGGCCUGAUCCACGGCUGCCCCCGCAACUGUAAGCGGCGAGUCGAUUCCGACGUGAGCCAUUGCCUCCAUGUGGGGUGAGAAGGCUGGGACCGACGAGGACCCGCGAGCCAGGAGACCGGCCGGCAUCGAGAGUGCGCGC